AUAUUCCUUCUUGAUGGGGCCAUGUUUUAUACCUUUGGUUUGGCAGCCGUAUGCUGGGCUAUCUGGAACUGUCGCAACCAGGCUACUUUUGAACGAAAACUACUUAAAACCCAAUUUAAUGUGGUGUAUGAUGCUUGUGAUUUUUUGACAUACUGGGCAGGUUAGAUGGCUGGUGAUGAUCGGGAGGCCAUGGAGCAUGGAGCCAAGAUGCUCAGGUCGAACGCUUAA
RNAcentral lists this ribosomal RNA (228 nucleotides) under Triticum aestivum (bread wheat). RNAcentral describes it as "partial small subunit ribosomal RNA". The record is from RNAcentral. Lineage: Eukaryota; Viridiplantae; Streptophyta; Magnoliopsida; Poales; Poaceae.